GAAGGCGGGCAACAUGGCCGCCGGUUUGGGUUUCGGCCCGGCCGGAGGAAAGUCCGAACACCGCAGGGCGCGAUGCCUGGUAACGCCAGGGCCCGCAAGGGACGGAAAGUGCAACAGAAAGCAAACCGCCGACGGGCGGCCACGCCGCAAGGCGCGGUCUGCCACGGGCAAGGGUGAAACGGUGCGGUAAGAGCGCACCAGCAGCCGGGUAACCGGCUGGCUCGGUAAACCCCAUCGGGUGCAAGACCGAAUAGGGUCCGAUGCGGAGCUGAUCGCGGGUUUUGGCCCGCGGCACCAGUCCGCGGCGAGGCGGCCCGCCUCGCACAGGCGCCUCGUGCGCCGACAAAGGACCGGGUAGGUUGCUAUGAGCCCCCCCGCAAGGAAGGGGCCGAGAGGAAUGGCCAUGCACGGGCCCGGUUCGCCGGGUUCGUGAACAGAAUUCGGCUUAUGCCGCCUUCCAGC
This 462-nucleotide RNase P RNA is filed under the name Candidatus Sumerlaeaceae bacterium. Its description in RNAcentral is "RNase P RNA component class A". It matches the Rfam family "Bacterial RNase P class A". From Rfam's summary of the family: Ribonuclease P (RNase P) is a ubiquitous endoribonuclease, found in archaea, bacteria and eukarya as well as chloroplasts and mitochondria. Lineage: Bacteria; Candidatus Sumerlaeota; Candidatus Sumerlaeia; Candidatus Sumerlaeales; Candidatus Sumerlaeaceae. The record is from RNAcentral.